AUCAAAUACUAUUUUACCUACCACCAUCUACCACCAUCAUCUCAACCUCACAUCUCUCCAUCCAAUGGCUAAAAACUCAAAAGCACCACCCCCAUGAUGCUUUUGAGUGUAUUCUAGCUCAACUAUAUAUAUAUAUAUAUAGAGAGAGAGAGUUGAGCUAAAAUACUAUCGGUAGCAAACGGGCUUCAUUGCUACCUAUUUGUUUUCGAUGAUGGAGCAUCCAAAUCGAUGAUCGACAUCGCUGAAUAUGAUCUAUACCACUUGAAGUAUCUAGAAAUCAAAUUUCAUGUUUUUUCGAUAUUGUUCUCUUGUCUAUCAAGUGGGCGUAAAAAUGAACGGCUGAAAAUGAAUAUCUUCUAAAAAAUGACGAUAGGAAUUUUGUAAUCAAGAUCGAGAGUAUAGAUUUUAUUCUAAAUAGUUUAAAGAAUUUUCUAACCAAAAUUCAAUUGAUUUGGUUAGUUUUACACCGUUAAACGAGAAAAUGCCUUAUCUACCAUUAAAAUUAUAAAUUUUGAAACCCUUUGAUCAUUAGGUCAAUGAUGUCGAAAUGAUUUGAAAUUUGGUUUUUAGAUACUUCAAAUGGUAUAGAUCAUGUUCAACGGUGUCGAUCGUUAAUUUAAAGGCUCCAUCAUCGAAAACAAAUGGGUGGCAACGGAGCCGGUUUGCUACCGAUAGCAUUCCAGCUCAACUCUCUCUCUCUCUCUCUCUA
RNAcentral lists this long non-coding RNA (709 nucleotides) under Ananas comosus (pineapple). Its description in RNAcentral is "long non-coding RNA (ACOM_LNC006140)". Lineage: Eukaryota; Viridiplantae; Streptophyta; Magnoliopsida; Poales; Bromeliaceae. The record is from RNAcentral.